AAUGGGAGGAUGACAAAUCAGAUUUUUCCUCCUGAUUUUUAGCAUUUUUAGUUGGAUUUGAUUUUUUUUCAGGAGGAAAAAGCUGAAAAUCAGGAGGAAAAAUCUGAUUUGUCAUCCUCCCAUU
This is a non-coding RNA of Gossypium raimondii (Peruvian cotton), 124 nucleotides long. NCBI's taxonomy places the organism in Eukaryota, Viridiplantae, Streptophyta, Magnoliopsida, Malvales, Malvaceae. The record is from Rfam.